CGCAUCUGUGCAUGCAGCAUAUCAAUAAGCGGAGGAAAAGAAACUAACAAGGAUUCCCCUAGUAACGGCGAGUGAAGCGGGAAGAGCUCAAAUUUGAAAUCUUAAAGGGUUUCCCUUUACGGAUUGUAGUUUAAAGAAGUGUUUUCUGUUGAGGUUUUGGUAAAAGUUCCUUGGAAUAGGACAUCAUAGAGGGUGAGAAUCCCGUAUUUGACCUUUACUUUCAACUUUGUGAUACACUUUCAAAGAGUCGGAUUGUUUGGGAAUGCAGUCCGAAAUGGGUGGUAAAUUUCAUCUAACGCUAAAUAUUGGCGAGAGACCGAUAGCGAACAAGUACCGUGAGGGAAAGAUGAAAAGAACUUUGAAAAGAGAGUUAAACAGUACGUGAAGUUGUCAAAAGGGAAGCGUUUGACACCAGUGUUGUUUUUCUGAAAAUCAAUUAAAGAACUGUUUAUGCUAAGUUGUUUAGACUUUAUCCGCUAACUGUUUAGUUUUGAGCUUUUCUUUAAUGCACUUUUCAGUUAACAAGUCAACAUCAAUUUCUUUUGCUGUAAAAAAGCUUGAGGAAGGUGGCUUGAGAUUCGUCUUAAGUGUUUAUAGCCUCUUGCCUAUGCAGUCGGAGAGAUUGAGGUCUGCAGCGUAGAUCCUUCGGGGCUAAAUGCAUUUGUGCUAAGUUAUAGCAUUUUAUAGACAACUUGUUGACUAUGAUUUGUCUUGUAGCUUACUCGCUUAUGUUAUUUUACCUACGCUUAGGAUGUUGAACGCGCACAGAGUCUC
Molecule: ribosomal RNA, 774 nt
Filed under: uncultured Neocallimastigales
Lineage: Eukaryota; Fungi; Neocallimastigomycota; Neocallimastigomycetes; Neocallimastigales
Description: partial large subunit ribosomal RNA
Rfam family: Eukaryotic large subunit ribosomal RNA
Source: RNAcentral